RNAcentral lists this ribosomal RNA (551 nucleotides) under Vexillum costatum. Its description in RNAcentral is "partial 12S ribosomal RNA". The record is from RNAcentral. Lineage: Eukaryota; Metazoa; Mollusca; Gastropoda; Neogastropoda; Costellariidae.
AACCAAGAGAUUAAGUUAUACUAUAACGGUAAAAAGACAGUUAGGUGAAAUCGCCAAAUUAGUUUAUUUAUGGUUGAAUAAGAUAGGUAAAAUUUGACUAUCAACUUAAAAAUUAUUAUUAGCUAAGUUACUGAAUCUGUGACAUCCCUGAGGGAAACUGGGAUUAGAUACCCCAUUAUUCUUGGAAAUAAAAAGAAAAAUCUACCAGAGCACUACGAAUAGAAAAAUUUAAAACUCAAAGAGCUUGGCGGUGCUUUAGACUUUUCAGGGGAACCUGUCUUAUAAUCGACAGUCCACGCUAUACCUGACCUUAUCUUGCGUACAAUUUGUAUACCGUCGUCGUCAGGUAACUUUUAAAAAUUUUAAUAGUUAGCGAAAAAGUUAAAAUGAACUUAAACGUCAGAUCAAGGUGCAAUUAAUGAUAGGGACAAGAUGGGUUACAAUUACAAAAAUAAUAAUACGAAAAACUAAUUGAAACAUUAUUUUAAAGGAGGACUUGAAAGUAAAACAUCUAUAUAUAUAUAUUAAUUGAAUAAAGCUCUGAAGCGUGC